UUCCGGAGUAGCUCAGCGGUAGAGCAGUGGACUGUUAAUCCAUUGGUCGUUGGUUCGAACCCAUCCUCCGGAGUC
Molecule: transfer RNA, 75 nt
Filed under: Chlamydia trachomatis
Lineage: Bacteria; Pseudomonadati; Chlamydiota; Chlamydiia; Chlamydiales; Chlamydiaceae
Also listed under: 36 other names
Description: tRNA-Asn(gtt)
Rfam family: tRNA
About the family: Transfer RNA (tRNA) molecules are approximately 80 nucleotides in length. Their secondary structure includes four short double-helical elements and three loops (D, anti-codon, and T loops). Further hydrogen bonds mediate the characteristic L-shaped molecular structure. tRNAs have two regions of fundamental functional importance: the anti-codon, which is responsible for specific mRNA codon recognition, and the 3' end, to which the tRNAs corresponding amino acid is attached (by aminoacyl-tRNA synthetases). tRNAs cope with the degeneracy of the genetic code in two manners: having more than one tRNA (with a specific anti-codon) for a particular amino acid; and 'wobble' base-pairing, i.e. permitting non-standard base-pairing at the 3rd anti-codon position.
Source: RNAcentral